UACGUAGGGUGCAAGCGUUGUCCGGAAUUAUUGGGCGUAAAGAGCUCGUAGGCGGUUUGUCGCGUCGGCCGUGAAAACCUGCAGCUUAACUGUGGGCCUGCGGUCGAUACGGGCAGACUUGAGUUCGGUAGGGGAGACUGGAAUUCCUGGUGUAGCGGUGAAAUGCGCAGAUAUCAGGAGGAACACCGGUGGCGAAGGCGGGUCUCUGGGCCGAUACUGACGCUGAGGAGCGAAAGCGUGGGGAGCGAACAGG
Molecule: ribosomal RNA, 253 nt
Filed under: uncultured bacterium
Lineage: Bacteria
Description: partial 16S ribosomal RNA
Rfam family: Bacterial small subunit ribosomal RNA
Source: RNAcentral